This 253-nucleotide ribosomal RNA is filed under the name uncultured bacterium. Its description in RNAcentral is "partial 16S ribosomal RNA". It matches the Rfam family "Bacterial small subunit ribosomal RNA", at positions 524 to 776 of the family's 1533-position model. The record is from RNAcentral.
UACAGAGGUCCCAAGCGUUGUUCGGAUUCACUGGGCGUAAAGGGUGCGUAGGUGGUUGGGUAAGUCUGAUGUGAAAGCCCGGAGCUUAACUCCGGAAUGGCAUUGGAUACUACUCGGCUAGAGGGUUGGAGGGGGGACUGGAAUUCUCGGUGUAGCAGUGAAAUGCGUAGAUAUCGAGAAGAACACCGGUGGCGAAGGCGAGUCCCUGGACAACUCCUGACACUGAGGCACGAAAGCUAGGGGAGCAAACAGG